CCUACGGGAUGCAGCAGUGAGGAAUAUUGGUCAAUGGCCGGAAGGCUGAACCAGCCAUGCCGCGUGAAGGUCAGUGCCCUAUGUGCGUUCAACUUCUUUUGUGCUGGAGCAAUAAUGGUCAAGUGUGGCCAGACGCGAGUACCGUACGAAUAAGCAUCGGCUCACUCCGUGCCAGCAGCCGCGGUAAUAAGGGGGAUGCAAGCGUAAUCCGGAUUUAUAGGGUUUAAAGGGUGCGUAGGCGGUUGGUUAAGUCAGAGGUGAAAUCCCGAGGCUCAACUUCGGAAUUGCCUCUGAUACUGUUCGGCUAGAGAGUAGUUGCGGUAUGCGGAAUGUAUGGUGUAGCGGUGAAAUGCUUAGAGAUCAUACAGAACACCGAUUGCGAAGGCAGCUUACCAAGCUACUUCUGACGUUGAGGCACGAAAGCGUGGGGAGCAAACAGGAUUAGAUACCCGGGUAGUC
Molecule: ribosomal RNA, 459 nt
Filed under: uncultured bacterium
Lineage: Bacteria
Description: partial 16S ribosomal RNA
Rfam family: Bacterial small subunit ribosomal RNA
Source: RNAcentral